AAGGUAGACAGAACAGGUCUUG
This 22-nucleotide microRNA is filed under the name Capra hircus (goat). RNAcentral describes it as "chi-miR-1839". Lineage: Eukaryota; Metazoa; Chordata; Mammalia; Artiodactyla; Bovidae. The record is from miRBase by way of RNAcentral.